RNAcentral lists this ribosomal RNA (902 nucleotides) under uncultured Bacillota bacterium. RNAcentral describes it as "bacterial SSU rRNA". It matches the Rfam family "Bacterial small subunit ribosomal RNA", at positions 21 to 917 of the family's 1533-position model. Lineage: Bacteria; Bacillati; Bacillota. The record is from RNAcentral.
GGCUCAGGAUGAACGCUGGCGGCGUGCCUAACACAUGCAAGUCGAACGAAGUUACUUGCUUAGAUCUCUUCGGAGUGACGAGCUUUUAACUUAGUGGCGGACGGGUGAGUAACACGUGAGCAACCUGCCUUUCAGAGGGGGAUAACGGCUGGAAACGGUCGCUAAUACCGCAUGACAUAUUGAAUCGGCAUCGGUUUAAUAUCAAAGGAGCAAUCCGCUGAAAGAUGGGCUCGCGUCUGAUUAGAUAGUUGGUGGGGUAACGGCCUACCAAGUCGACGAUCAGUAGCCGGACUGAGAGGUUGAACGGCCACAUUGGGACUGAGAUACGGCCCAGACUCCUACGGGAGGCAGCAGUGGGGAAUAUUGCACAAUGGGGGAAACCCUGAUGCAGCAACGCCGCGUGAAGGAAGACGGUUUUCGGAUUGUAAACUUCUUUUCUUAGUGAAGAAGCAAGUGACGGUAGCUAAGGAAUAAGCAUCGGCUAACUACGUGCCAGCAGCCGCGGUAAUACGUAGGAUGCGAGCGUUAUCCGGAAUUACUGGGUGUAAAGGGAGCGCAGGCGGGACUGCAAGUUGGAUGUGAAAUACCGCAGCUUAACUGCGGAGCUGCAUCCAAAACCGUAGUUCUUGAGUGGAGUAGAGGCAAGCGGAAUUCCGAGUGUAGCGGUGAAAUGCGUAGAUAUUCGGAGGAACACCAGUGGCGAAGGCGGCUUGCUGGGCUCUAACUGACGCUGAGGCUCGAAAGUGUGGGGAGCAAACAGGAUUAGAUACCCUGGUAGUCCACACUGUAAACGAUGAUAGCUAGGUGUGGGGGGUCUGACCCCUUCCGUGCCGGAGUUAACGCAAUAAGCUAUCCACCUGGGGAGUACGGCCGCAAGGUUGCAACUCAAAUGAAUUGACGGA